RNAcentral lists this transfer RNA (78 nucleotides) under Daphnia magna. RNAcentral describes it as "tRNA-Glu". It matches the Rfam family "tRNA". Rfam says of the family: Transfer RNA (tRNA) molecules are approximately 80 nucleotides in length. Lineage: Eukaryota; Metazoa; Arthropoda; Branchiopoda; Diplostraca; Daphniidae. The record is from RNAcentral.
UCCCAUAUUGUCUAGUGGUUAUUUUAGUGAUACCUGGCUCUCACCCAGGAGGCCCGGGUUCAAUUCCCGGUAUGGGAA